This is a non-coding RNA of Misgurnus anguillicaudatus (oriental weatherfish), 1415 nucleotides long. The record is from RefSeq and is a predicted model, not a curated record. NCBI's taxonomy places the organism in Eukaryota, Metazoa, Chordata, Actinopteri, Cypriniformes, Cobitidae.
CAAUUUUAAUGUAAUUAGGUAUUAAAUAAAUUUUAAUAUGCAAUAAAGAAUACACAGUAAGGUUAAAUGCUUUAGAAUGUAGUGAAGUAAACAUUUUCUUUUCCCAAUACAAACAUUCUAAUAAAGCACAGAUGCUUGGAAAAUGUAACUAAGUAUUGUCCACCUCUGCUAUCAAGUCCAACUAAAUCCAAUUUAAGCUGAUAAUAUUCAGUUUUACUAGCAUUUGCGCCGCUAUGAAAACCAGCAAUUUUGUUGCACGUUUUGCCACUCAACCAGGCGAGCUCUCACGUGUUCACAUGGAAAAGUGACAUCAAUGCAUACCCUCUAUAGGACGAGUGGGGAACCCUGGUCCAACCCUAAUCAAACACACCUGAAUUUCAUUUACAAGUGAUCCUAAAGACUUUAUUUUUAUUUUUCAGGUGUGUUUUAUUAGGGUUGGAACUAAACUCUCCAGGACAGUGGCCCUCCAGGACCAGGGUUCCUCACCCCUGCUGUAUAGCAAAACAUGGGAUUUCCAAAUAUAAAUCAUUUUGAUCCAGAUUUAACUUUUUAAACAACAGCCCCCUACAGAUUUUAGCUCCAACCCUAUUCAAACACAGCUGCUAAUUGAGGUGUUCAGGGUUGCUUAAUAAUUACAGACAGGUGUUGGAGCUGGAUGCAACUGAGGUCUGCAGGACGGUAGCUCUCCAGGAACAGGGUUGGACACCUGUGUUUUAUUCAGUCUUUGGUUCCUGCAGUCAAUGAGUUUGACUGAACACCUCUUCAGGAUCUGCUGCUGUUCUCCAGCGUCACAGACAGAAUCCAGAGACUUGGUGGAGGUUUGAUCAGUAGAUUCCUCAUCCUGUAAGACCUGAUGAUUACUGUCACACACAGCUGUGUCCUCCUGAUCGUCUGUGGGCUUUGACUCCGUUUAACAGAGUAAAGUGAGACUGAUCUCGGAGUCCUGUGUGUGUCUGGAUUUCUCUUCAGAGAGUUCAGAGUCCAGCUGUGGUGUGGGCUGAUCUCCGCUGAUCCACGCUGAAUCAAGACAUUCACUGGAGCUUCCAUCAUCAUCAGUUACAUCCACUGAAGAUUCACGACAAACCACUUCCUGACAACACACACGCACACCGUGAGAUUAUAAAUGAUAUUUGAUGAUUGAGUGAUGCAAGUAAACUAUACAGACCUCUCGGUUCAGUCCUUCAUCUCCUCUUAACCUCAGCUUCGCCUCCAGUAACGCCACCUCUUUCUUUAGAUGAGAGAUUUCUGCGAUGAACUCAUCAAUAUCAAGCAUGGACAGAUCAGUUCCUACUGAUUUACAGCACAUGUAAACUCUCAUCGUCAACAUCUUAACACUAAAAUACACGGUGACGAGUAUAUGUUUACACUGAAUAAAACACUAAAAUCAUUGAAAUAAAACUGAUGUAAAACACGCA